UACAGAGGGUGCGAGCGUUAAUCGGAAUUACUGGGCGUAAAGGGCGCGUAGGCGGUUAUUUAAGUUGGAUGUGAAAUCCCUGGGCUUAACCUAGGAACUGCAUUCAAUACUGAAUGACUGGAGUGCAGUAGAGGAUAGUGGAAUUUCCGGUGUAGCGGUGAAAUGCGUAGAUAUCGGAAGGAACACCAGUGGCGAAGGCGGCUAUCUGGACUGACACUGACGCUGAGGCGCGAAAGCGUGGGGAGCAAACAGG
Molecule: ribosomal RNA, 253 nt
Filed under: uncultured bacterium
Lineage: Bacteria
Description: partial 16S ribosomal RNA
Rfam family: Bacterial small subunit ribosomal RNA
Source: RNAcentral